GACGAACGCUGGCGGCGUGCCUAAUACAUGCAAGUAGAACGCUGAAGCGAGGAGCUUGCUCUUCUUGGAUGAGUUGCGAACGGGUGAGUAACGCGUAGGUAACCUGCCUUUUAGUGGGGGAUAACUAUUGGAAACGAUAGCUAAUACCGCAUAACAAUGGAUGACACUUGUCAUUUAUUUUAAAGGGGCAAUUGCUCCACUACAAGAUGGACCUGCGUUGUAUUAGCUAGUAGGUGAAGUAAUGGCUCAACUAGGCGACGAUACAUAGCCGACCUGAGAGGGUGCUGGGCCCAACCGGGACUGAGACACCGCCCAGAACCCCACGGGAGGGAGCAGUAGGGAAUCAUUGGAAAAGGGGGCAACGCUGACCGAGCUACGCCGCGUGGGUGAAGAAGGGUUUCGGAUCGUAAAGAUCUGUUGUACGUGAAGAAAGAGCAUGAGAGUGGAACGUGCACAGUGUGACGGUAGCUUAACAGAAAGGGCCGGCUAACUACGUG
This 497-nucleotide ribosomal RNA is filed under the name uncultured bacterium. RNAcentral describes it as "partial 16S ribosomal RNA". It matches the Rfam family "Bacterial small subunit ribosomal RNA", at positions 28 to 507 of the family's 1533-position model. The record is from RNAcentral.